Molecule: ribosomal RNA, 620 nt
Filed under: Salvelinus namaycush (lake trout)
Lineage: Eukaryota; Metazoa; Chordata; Actinopteri; Salmoniformes; Salmonidae
Description: partial 16S ribosomal RNA
Rfam family: Bacterial large subunit ribosomal RNA
Source: RNAcentral
CGCCUGUUUACCAAAAACAUCUGCCUCUUGCAAAUCAAAGCAUAAGAGGUCCCGCCUGCCCUGUGACUAUGGGUUUAACGGCCGCGGUAUUUUGACCGUGCGAAGGUAGCGCAAUCACUUGUCUUUUAAAUGAAGACCUGUAUGAAUGGCAUCACGAGGGCUUAGCUGUCUCCUCUCCCAAGUCAAUGAAAUUGAUCUGCCCGUGCAGAAGCGGACAUAAGUACAUAAGACGAGAAGACCCUAUGGAGCUUUAGACACCAGGCAGAUCACGUCAAGUAAGCUUAAAUUAACAAGUAGAAACGCAGUGACCCCUAGCCCAUAUGUCUUUGGUUGGGGCGACCGCGGGGGAAAAUAAAGCCCCCAUGUGGACUGGGGGCACUGCCCCCACAGCCGAGAGCUACAGCUCUAAGCACCAGAAUUUCUGACCAAAAAUGAUCCGGCGAACGCCGAUCAACGGACCGAGUUACCCUAGGGAUAACAGCGCAAUCCUCUCCCAGAGUCCCUAUCGACGAGGGGGUUUACGACCUCGAUGUUGGAUCAGGACAUCCUAAUGGUGCAGCCGCUAUUAAGGGUUCGUUUGUUCAACGAUUAAAGUCCUACGUGAUCUGAGUUCAGACCGG